AGGAGGACACACCAUAGGAAUUGGACACUGUACCUUAAUCUCGAACAGGUUGUACAAUUUCACAGGCAAGGGAGAUACCGACCCUUCAUUGGACCCAAGAUACGCUGCUCAACUGAAGAAAAAAUGCAAGCCUGGAAACUCCAACACAGUCGUCGAGAUGGACCCCGGUAGCUUCAAGUCUUUCGACGAAGAUUACUACACCAUUGUAGCUAAAAGAAGAGGAUUAUUCCAAUCUGAUUCAGCUCUUCUUGAUGAUGCUGAAACAAGAGACUAUGUCAGAUUUCAGUCAAGGACACAGGGAUCCACCUUUGCACAAGAUUUUGCUGAAUCCAUGGUGAAAAUGGGUUACAUUGGAGUCCUGACCGGCAAACAAGGCGAAAUCAGGAAACGUUGUGCUGUUGUGAAUUAAAUCGAUAUUUAAUUUCAUUUUCCAUACCUGAGUUGCUUGUAACGAAGUUGCAUAUUGUUCAUGUUUGAGUUGUCUUUUAUCUGCCUCUACUUUCUAUCUUUUUUCGCACUUGCAACCCAAAUGGUUGCAGGAUGUACUUAAUAAUUUUGAGGUUGUGCCAUUCCUUGUAUUUUAGUGAUUUAUUCAAUUUCUUCUAAUGAAUAUUACAACUUUCAUUAUUCUCUUAAUAUUGUAAUAUCUGCUACAUUUUGUUUUUGAAUAUUCCAGAAAAAUUCUUCCUUCUUUGAAUCACAUUCAUAUCAUCUUGCACCAAAUCCAAUAACUACAAGAUCCAUCAUCCUGAGUUAGUAAAUGAGAGUGUUCUGUGCAUUUAUAGGCCAUGAUUAUAUGCAGGAAGAGCAUCCCAGCAACUUAUCCAACAGCUCCACUGGAAUUAACAUAGUUUUACAGCAAGUUCAGUUUGGAAGAACAUUUUUACAAGUACAACAAAAUUAAUUAGUUUCAUGAAGUAAUUUAAUACUCAGGUUGGUAAUCCAUGCAAAUUUUCAUCAACCAAAUGUCUCUUAACUACAUGUCUAUGGAGGUGAGAUCAGCUAACUUAUUUAUCUGGCAAUGAUGCAAAAACAAUGUCCCAAAUCCGAUUCACACAGCCACCCCUUGGAACUUGUAAGUGCCCCAAUCUUCAAUGUAUUUUCCUGAAACGGCAAGAUUUCCAAACUUUUUUUCUUGUAUUUCAUUCACUUUAUUCUCACACAGCACCUGGAGUUAGAACCAAAAAAAGAAGAAGCAAGAACACAUUAUAUGUUGCUCAGUCAAUAUGCUUCUAUCAGGGACACUUCUGAUUUUCACUCCUGACAUGGUGACAGCAUUGAAUCUAACCGUUGGUUUAUCUGAUCAGGAUGUAAGAAGCAAGAACGCAAUAACCUGCAGGUUGGGAUUAGAAGCAGUGGAAACCUGUAUGCAGGCGAACUAUCUAUUGGAACAACAUUAGUCUUAUCAGCAUGCGCGCCUAGACAUGCUCGCACGCCCGUAUGCACUCGCGCGCGCGCGCACAGAUUUGGAGAAUUUCCUAAAACCAUUUUUUCUUCUAAAGCACCCACGACGCUUCAAUUAUAUGUAUUUUGAUCAUAAAAUAGAAGGAGAAUCGUAUCAUGAUUUUAACUUUCUGUACAUUUCUUUAAAUGUUUUAGAUGUGAUUAAAGAGAUUCCUGUCAUUGUGAGCAGGAAGUCAUUUAAAUUUUCUUUUAUGAUAAAACUAUUAUAUAUACAGGAAUAAAGUGUGAUCUGAGUUCCCUUAAUUUGUUUUAUAGCUUGCACCACUACUUCGAAUUCGGGUCGAGCUUACGUUAACCCAACUUUGGCUUCAAGGUCUGAAUAUUAGAUCCUCGAAAGAGUAAGAACAGUUUGCUUGCCAUUGUCAGCACGCCACAGAAACAAAGCACCUGUAAAAAACCCAGGCUAGUUAGGUCGAAAUCAAGAAGGGUGCGGUGCCAGCCAAGUUUCUUCGUAAUAUGAAAUGCACAAUCUUCGCCAUUUUUGGUAGCCACUUUCACAUCAAGCCGUUCGUCUUGCUGUUUGAUGUUGUCUGCAUUCUUAAUCAUCUGAGAUCCUUGCAUUCUGAGUUAUUCAAGGCUCUAUAAUCUCUUCAUUUUUAUAGAAGAGUGGGAACUGAUCAGAAUUCCCUAGUGGGUUUCCAUGCAGCGUGUGACAGUUAAUUAUUGAGCAGUUUUUUUCUGUAACAAAAGCGUAGAGUGAAUCCUGCUUAUUACACACGCAUGAUGUAAAGUCUUGUGUGUUUCUUCUGUCUUGAAAGGGCAACAUAAGUUAUUGGUUCAGCUAAAGAGUCUGAGAAUGGUCGAUGCACGUAUUUCUCACGUAUAUGGUUUCUUCGAAGCUAACAGAAGACAUGGUCUUGUAAAGUAUCAUGUGUCUGGGCGGAUAUUAACAAUAUUGCACGACCAGUUCCAGUUAAUACAAUAAUGCUUAAUCAAUAAAUAUUCAUUUAUUAUUAAAACAGCUAUGUUCGAUAGUACGAUUUCCUACCAACUCCUAGAAUCAAUAAUUAAAAUGCCAAUUAUAUUCAAUGUUGUUAAUAUGAUCAGUUCUUCACAAUCAAGUAAUUAAAAAUUCAGAUUUCACUGUCCUAUUUGUAGCGGCAGAACUCAGAAAACUUGAAAUAGCAUGUUAAAAUACUAUAAAAUUAUUCUUGAAACCUCUUUUUUCAUAAAGGUCAACAAGAGAGAAAUCAGAACAAGUCAUGGCAAUGUAUACUUAGCAGAAAGUCGUGUACGGCUUUCUUUAAACCUAGCAUUGACAUAUAAUAUUUCGUUUCGUGAGUAGGUCUUUGUUCUUGAGAGCUUGGUUGUUGUAAUAUCCUGAAAGGUCACACAGCAGCAUCUAUAAUCUAUGCCUGACUGCUUUGCCAAAUUAUUUUUGGUGGGUAGCCAAUGGGAGAAUGUUUAAUGCAAGUUGAGCUAUAUAUAAUUUAAACGGUUGAGUGUAGGCUAAGAUUCUGUUAACUAAUAUUUUCUGGGCAUGUUUUGAUAUGAACUCCACUCAUUCUAACGUAAAUUCUUCCAUUUAGACGUGCUUGAACCUUUUAUUCAAAUACAAUACUUCCCCUACCAUAAAACUUUCAAAUUUGUACGGAGUUUAGAAAACAUAUUUUAGAGGUUUCGAUAGUUUUUCUUUGCAAGUUUGCUGAUGUUUUUCAAUUUUCUCUCUCUUAUAUAUAUGCAUUAUUUAGCAAUGUAAAAUAUUAAUCAAACUGCCAUUUGAUUAGUUAUUAAUUUGUUGUGGGUCAGCUCUUAAAUUGUUGACUUUAUCAUAUAAACACCAACAAUUCGUAACUAAUCAAAUGACAGUUUGUGCAAAGACACUGUCAAAGGCCUUAUCUCAACUAUAAAAUGCCAGCAGACUUGUGUUCCUCACAAUCUCAUCCUUGAAGUACAGCUUCAAAACUUCACUCAAGGGAAAAUGGCAAUUCAAAAGCUUUUCGUGGUCUGCUUUCUUCAACUCGUUUUCGCCUUUUUGCUUGCAGGCCUCACUAAUGCAAGGGGGCUGCAACUUGGAUUCUACCGGAGAGCAUGUCCUGAUGCAGAGCUUAUAGUCCAUCAAACUCUUUAUCGUUACAUCUCUAGGGACCGAACCCUUGCUGCUCCUCUGCUAAGAAUGCAUUUCCAUGAUUGCUUUAUCAGGGUAAGCUUUUAAGCUAAAGUCCUAGCAUGCAAUUUACACAGUAUGUAUCUGAUAUCACCAUCAUCUCAUUGUUACCUUGCCACAAAAGCACUUGGAAAUCAAGCGUUUUCAUCUUGUUUAGGAAACCACACAAUUCCAUAUCCUAACAAGUUAUGCUUUCCAGGGAUGUGAUGGUUCCGUGCUCCUAAGUUCUACAAAGAAGAAUCAAGCUGAGAAAGACGCCAUCCCAAAUCAAACCUUAAGAGGGUUCAAUGUCAUUGAUGCUGUAAAAUCAGCUCUGGAAAAGAAGUGUCCUGGUGUGGUUUCCUGUUCCGAUAUCUUGGCCCUGGUUGCUCGUGACGCAGUUCUAAUGGUAUCAAAUUUUCCAACACAAUCUGUAACCACUCAUUAACUGCAUCACUAUGCCUCUGCUUAACCAGUUUUUCUUUUCAGAUUGGCGGACCACAUUGGGAUGUCCCCACAGGACGCAGAGACGGAAGAGUGUCGAUUGCCAACGAGGCUCUAUUCAAUUUACCAUCUCCUUUCGCCAACAUAACUGUCCUCAAACAACAAUUUGCUGCAACGGGUUUAAGUGUAAAGGACCUUGCAGUUCUAUCAGGUAGUUUUCGUAACAAAAAAAAGCUAUCUGUUAAGCAAAAUAGCAGUGUGUUUACUUGGAAUAUGUUUUGGUGACAGGAGGACACACCAUAGGAAUUGGACACUGUACCUUAAUCUCGAACAGGUUGUACAAUUUCACAGGCAAGGGAGAUACCGACCCUUCAUUGGACCCAAGAUACGCUGCUCAACUGAAGAAAAAAUGCAAGCCUGGAAACUCCAACACAGUCGUUGAGAUGGACCCCGGUAGCUUCAAGUCUUUCGACGAAGAUUACUACACCAUUGUAGCUAAAAGAAGAGGAUUAUUCCAAUCUGAUUCAGCUCUUCUUGAUGAUGCUGAAACAAGAGACUAUGUCAGAUUUCAGUCAAGGACACAGGGAUCCACCUUUGGACAAGAUUUUGCUGAAUCCAUGGUGAAAAUGGGUUACAUUGGAGUCCUGACCGGCAAACAAGGCGAAAUCAGGAAACGUUGUGCUGUUGUGAAUUAAAUCGAUUUUCUAUUGAUUUCCUGAACAUGCACGUGUGAUUUCAUUUGUAUCUGUUUCAUUUAUUUUCCCCCAAAUUUGCAACCCAAUUAGUUGCAGGAUGUACUUCAUAAUUUGAGGUUUUCCCUCCAUGUUAUUUCUUGUGAUUUAUUCAAUAUUUCCUUCAUACGAAUAUAAACAUCCACUACCUUCUUGGUAUUUGAAUACCUGCUACAGUUUCCUUCACUCUUUUGGCUAGGCCAUGAAUAUAUGCAUGCUUGGGCAGAUUGCACCUCCCAUCAACAUAUCCAACAUCUUCACAGAAAUUUACCGAAGUUUAAAGCAAGUAUUCAAUCUGGAAGAACAUUUAUAUAUGUGCUCCUCGUAAAAUCUCAUUACCCAGAUGCCUCUACUUAUUUAUCUAUUGAACUGACCUAAAAAUGUCUCAAAACCAAUUGAUUGUACCUCCUUAGAACUAGUAACGCAGUGCACCAAUCUUUAAUAUCUUACCUGCUAUUGCCAGAAUGCCAGCCAUUAUUUUCUUGAUUUUCAUUCAAAACAGGAAGAAAAAAAAAAAGCACCUGUAGAUUAAUCCAGUACAGUCAAAUUUUGGAUGCAAAAGAUAGUUGAAAUCAAGAAGGGUGCCAGUCCAAUUACUUCAUAAUAUUCAUGCAUAAUCUUCACCAAUCACCAUGAGAUGUUUUGAACUCCAUUUAUCAUCUGAUCAAUUAGGGAUUAAUCUGCAACAAAUUUCUUCCUCAUAAACUGGAUAUUGGCAAAUGAUACCUCAGUGUGAUAGAACCAAUGAAAAAUGGUGUCAACUCAUCUGGAAAAGUCCAUGAAUUAAUUACUAGGGAAAAAUAAAUAAAUAAAAUGAAGUCCUUGUAUAUGUUCUGAAUCGUUCAAGCUUCUCAAAGCUUUUAAUCUCUUCGGUUUCGUAAAAGGGUGAGAACUGAGAAUUCCCUACGUCGUCUUCACACAGUUUGCCACAGUAUAUUGUACAGUUAAUGGAAACAUGCAGAGGACUUGGGAUGUUUUUGCAACUAAUCAUAAAGUGAAUCCUGCUUCUUACACAUGCAUAAUGUCCUGAGACAACUAAUGGAAGCAUCCAGAGGAAUAUAUUCUGUCUUCAAACGCUAAUGCAAGUGAAUGGUUAUGCUGAAGAAUCACUUAGCUCAACUACAUUUCGCAUGUGGUUUCUUCGAAACUAAGCUCUAUCGAUACCUUCCAAAUCCUGGAAUCAAUUACUUUGGAAAUUGUAACCCAAGGCCAACAAGGUAGAGAAGAUCAGAUCCAGUCAUAGCUACACAUAUUGAAUUACAGAAUGCCGUUUAUACAUUGCGGGAUUGAACAGUACAUUUAUAUUGAAUCACACAGUUUGCUUAAACCUUGCGCUCACAUAUUUAGCCAUUUCAUUUCUUACAAUGUCCCUACAGCUCUUCACAGCCAUUUCACUACCAUCAACAGACCUUUUGGGAAAUUAACACUUGUUUUUUGAUGAGGCCUUUGUGCGUAGCAACUUCUUGUUAUGUAUCCUGAAUGGGCAAAAUAAUAUCUAUAAUCUAUGUUAGAUUGUUUUUUGGUGGCAAUCCAAUGGGAGAAUGUUUAAUGCAAGUUGAGGUUUUUCAAUGUUUUGAGUACGAGUGUCAGCUAAAGAUUCUUAGAGCCAACACAUAAUUUAGCCGUGUUGUGGAGAGAGGCGAAGGCAUCCUCACAGGACGUGUUUCCAUUUUUUAAGUACUUGGAGUUGAGCGUUUCAAUAGGAGAAUGUUUAAUGCAAGUUGGGAAAACGUGCAAUCAUAUUACACACAGCUGACAGUUUGUACAAUGACGCUGUCAAAGACCUCAUCUUGACUAUAAAAAGCCGGAAAAAUUAUUGUGUUCCAAACCAUCUCAGCCUGAAGAACAACUUCAAAACUCCUGUUCACAGAUAAUGGCUAUCCAAAAGCUUUUUCAGUCCUCUUUCUUCAUCUGGCUCUCGCUUUCCUGCUAGUAGAACUCACUAAUGCAGGGGGGUUGCAACUCGGAUUUUGCCGGAGAGCCUGUCCUGAUGCAGAGCUUGUUGUACAUGAGACCCUUCACCGAUACAUUUCUAGGGACCCGACCCUUGCCGCUCCUUUGCUAAGAAUGUAUUUCCAUGAUUGUUUCAUCAGGGUAAGCCCUUAAGCUACGCCACUGUUCAAUUCACACAGUUGUGAAACAUAAUUUAUCUUAUAUCAUGAUUUUCAACAUUACUUUGCUGCUUAAGCACACGUAGAACAAUAUCCUAACAAGUUGUGGUUUCAGGGAUGUGAUGGCUCUGUGCUCAUAAGCUCUACAAAGAAAAAUCAAGCAGAGAAAGACGCGAUCCCGAAUAAAACCUUAAGAGGAUUCAAUGUCAUUGAUGCUGUAAAACCUGCACUGGAGAAAAAGUGUCACGACCCGAUCUUGGAUCCAUGACCGACAAAUAGACAAAGUUCCCUUCAAGAUUCUAUACCUAUGUGAACUCAAACUUACAUACAAACUUAUCUUUUAAAUAACUCAAUCAGAGUUCAACGCAAUACUAACAACAAAACUAACCUCACAAUAUAAUUUAAUUGUUUCAAUACAAUUUUAUAGUUGUGAAGCACUAAUUAGACAUAAAAAAAGAGUACAAAUUAUAACAAAAAAACAGGUUCUAAAAGUCCUACAAAAUGACCUGCUAACAAGCUAAAAGCCUAAAAAGAUAAAUAAUGAAAGGGUGAGUUCAACAAUUUGGUGAGUAGAUAACGUUUAAUACACACACAUGAGGUAAUAUAGCAAAGAUGAAUACAUAUACAAUUAUGGCUCUAGGUUCUUAUAGGAAGGUUUCUCAAAUAGGCUAUAAAAAGAAUAUCAUAAGGUAAAGCUAGUCAGAAAAAAAAAAAAAAAACAAUUAACAUGAGGCUCUGUACUGUGGGAUGAUCAAUUCACAUAAGUUGGUGACUCCCCCGACCAACUAGGAUUUAGAUACGAUGCGCACAAAGUGUGAUGUUUUGAAAAUAAAUGAGUAGGAAAAAAGCAAUAAAGCCCUUAAAGGCUUAAAAAUAGGCAUUAAUGAAUGAGGGACAUUGUAGUAAUUGAACAAUGAGUUGAUAAAUAUAAAUAGAAAAAGAAAAAAAAAGAAAAAGUUGUGUUCUUGAGAGAAAACCGUGAGAGGGAAAGAAGAAAAAGAGAAAAGAGAGAAAGAUAAAGGAAGAAGAAGCGAGUUAGAGAAAUGAGCUUAAAAAGUAAGAUUUAGGCUUUUAAAUCUAUAAAUGUGUGUUCUUUUAGCUUUAAAUUUCUAUUUGUUGAAUGUUAGGGUUUUGAAGAUUUGGUUUUGGGUUGAUUAAUGAAUUAAUUUGAAUGUUAUGGGUUGAUUGCUUUUGGGUAAUGAGUUGUUUAGUUGGUUUUGAAAGAUUUUAAAUAAAGAUGAUGAUUUUAAGUUAUGAUUUUAGUAAAUGGUGAAUUUGUGUUAGAAAUCAGAAAAUAACAGUAGGUGAUCUGUGAAAAUUCUGGGUUUGAGGUUGAAGAUGAUGAGAUUUCAGUUUGGUCCCUCAAUUUGUGAAAAUUAUAGUUUAGUCCCCAAACUUUAGAAAAAUUAUAGAUUGGUCCCCAGAGCAUAUUCCGAAAAUUAUAGAUUGGUCCCCAGAGCAUAUUCCGAGAUUCUGGACAGAAUACAAGAUGAAGUAUGGGUAGAAUUCCAGUAUAGUUAUGAAUUUUUAACCUUUUUCAUUUGGUCCUAUCAUUUGAUAAAAAUUACAAUUUGACCCUAAAAAUUUGAAAAAAUUCCAGAAUGGUCCCUGAAGCAUAAUUAGUGUUCUGGAAAGAAGUGAAGAUGAAUUAUGGACAUAAUUUCACUAUAGUCAUGAAUUUAUGAUAUUUUUAGUUUGGUCCUCCAAUUUGACAAAGUUACAAUUUGACCCUUAAUUUGGAGGACCAAACUAAAAAUAUCAUCAAUUCAUGAAUACAGUGUAAUUAUGUCCUUAAUUCAUCCCCAGUUCUAUCCAGAAUCUCUAAUUAUGCUCUAGGGACCAUUCUAAAAUUUCUCCAAAUUUUAAGGGUCAAAUUGUAAUUUUUAUCAAAUGGGAGGGUCAAAUUGAAAGUGUUAAAAAUUCAUAACUAUACUGGAAUUCUGCUCACAAUUCAUAUUUUAUUCUGUCCAGAAUCUCGGAUUAUGUUCCAGGGACCAAUCUAUAAUUUUUCUAAAGUUUGGGGACUAAACUAUAAUUUUCACAAAUUGAAGGACCAAACUGAAAUUUUAUCAUCUUAAACCUCAAACCCAGAAUUUUCACAGGUCACCAACUGUUAUCUCCUGAUUUCUAACACAAAUUCACCAUUCAAACAAAAUCAUAACUCAAAAUCAUCAUCUUUAUCUACAAUCUUUCAUAAUCAAUUAAAUAACUAAUUACCCAUAACAAUCAAUCCAUAAUAUUUAAAUCAAUUCAUCAAUCAACCCAAAACACAAUCUUCAAAACCCUAACAUUCAACAAAAUAGAAAUUUAAAGAUAAAAAAACAAAUAUUUAUACAUUUCAAAACUUAAAUCUUAGCUUUAAACUUAUUUUCUUUAACUCUCUUCUCCUUCCUUUAUCUUACCCUUUUUUUUUUCUCUUCUUCUUCUUUUCUUUUUCUUCUCUUCUCCCGUCAGUUUUUCACUCUUAAUUUCAGAUCUCUCUCUUUUUUUUCUAUUUAUAUUUAUCAAGUUUUAUUCAAUUACCACAACACCCUUCAUUCAUUUAUACCACUUUUAAGCCUUCAAGGGCCUUGUUGCCUUUUCCUGCUCUUCUAUUUCAAAACAUAACAAGAAGUGUCCUGGGUGUGGUUUCCUGUUCUGAUGUCUUGGCCCUGGUGGCUCGUGACGCAGUCCUGAUGGUAUUGAAUCUUCCAACACAAAAUCUAUCUCCACUAGUAAACUGCUCCAUAUGCGUAUGUGCAUAAUCAAAGCCUCUCCUUCCAGAUUGAUGGACCGUAUUGGGAUGUUCCCACCGGACGCAGAGAUGGAAGAGUGUCGAUUGCUAACGAGGCUUUAUUCAAUCUACCAUCUCCUUUCGCCAACAUUACUGUCCUGAAACAGCAAUUUGCUGCAACGGGUUUAAGUGUAAAGGACCUUGCAGUCCUAUCAGGUAGUUUUCGUAGCAAAUAAAGCUAUCUAUUGAGCUAAAUAUCAGUGUAUUUACUUGGAAUAUUUUCUGGUGACCGGAGGAGACACCACAGGAAUUGGACACUGCACCAUAAUCUCGAACAGGCAAGGAAGAUACUGACCCUUCAUUGGACCCAAGGUACGUUGCUCAACUGAAGAAAAGAUGCAAGCCUGGAAACUCCAACACAGUCGUUGAGAUGGACCAUGGGAGCUUCAACACUUUCGACGAAGAUUACUACACCAUUGUAGCUAAAGAAGAGGGCUUCCGAUCUGAUGCAGUCUUCUUGACGACUGCUCAAGAGACUACGUCAAGUUUCAGUAAAGGACACAGGGAUCCACCUUUGCACAAGAUUUUGCUGAAUCCAUGGUG
Molecule: long non-coding RNA, 10152 nt
Filed under: Populus tremula
Lineage: Eukaryota; Viridiplantae; Streptophyta; Magnoliopsida; Malpighiales; Salicaceae
Description: long non-coding RNA (PTRE_LNC002650)
Source: RNAcentral